Molecule: ribosomal RNA, 450 nt
Filed under: Escherichia coli
Lineage: Bacteria; Pseudomonadati; Pseudomonadota; Gammaproteobacteria; Enterobacterales; Enterobacteriaceae
Description: bacterial SSU rRNA
Rfam family: Bacterial small subunit ribosomal RNA
Source: RNAcentral
UUAAAUUGAAGAGUUUGAUCAUGGCUCAGAUUGAACGCUGGCGGCAGGCCUAACACAUGCAAGUCGAACGGUAACAGGAAGAAGCUUGCUUCUUUGCUGACGAGUGGCGGACGGGUGAGUAAUGUCUGGGAAACUGCCUGAUGGAGGGGGAUAACUACUGGAAACGGUAGCUAAUACCGCAUAACGUCGCAAGACCAAAGAGGGGGACCUUCGGGCCUCUUGCCAUCGGAUGUGCCCAGAUGGGAUUAGCUAGUAGGUGGGGUAACGGCUCACCUAGGCGACGAUCCCUAGCUGGUCUGAGAGGAUGACCAGCCACACUGGAACUGAGACACGGUCCAGACUCCUACGGGAGGCAGCAGUGGGGAAUAUUGCACAAUGGGCGCAAGCCUGAUGCAGCCAUGCCGCGUGUAUGAAGAAGGCCUUCGGGUUGUAAAGUACUUUCAGCGGGGA